Molecule: ribosomal RNA, 460 nt
Filed under: uncultured bacterium
Lineage: Bacteria
Description: partial 16S ribosomal RNA
Rfam family: Bacterial small subunit ribosomal RNA
Source: RNAcentral
CCUACGGGUGGCAGCAGUGAGGAAUAUUGGUCAAUGGGCGGAAGCCUGAACCAGCCAAGUAGCGUGCAGGAUGACGGCCCUACGGGUUGUAAACUGCUUUUAUACGGGAAUAACGCGCCUUACGUGUAGGGCUUUGCAUGUAUCGUAUGAAUAAGGACCGGCUAAUUAUGUGCCAGCAGCCGCGGUAAUACGGAAGGUCUGGGCGUUAUCCGGAUUUAUUGGGUUUAAAGGGAGCGUAGGCGGCAUGUCAAGCGUGCUGUGAAAGGUCCGGGUGCAACCCGGGCCUUGCAGCGCGAACUGGCGUGCUUGAGUCCGCGGAGGGCAGGCGGAAUUCGUCGUGUAGCGGUGAAAUGCUUAGAUAUGACGAAGAACCCCGAUUGCGAAGGCAGCUUGCUGCAGCGGAACUGACGCUGAUGCUCGAAAGCGCGGGUAUCGAACAGGAUUAGAUACCCUUGUAGUC